UACGGAGGGUGCAAGCGUUAUCCGGAAUCACUGGGCGUAAAGGGUGCGUAGGUGGUUCAACAAGUCAGAAGUGAAAGGCAUUGGCUCAACCAAUGUAAGCUUUUGAAACUGUUGAACUUGAGUGCAGGAGAGGUAAGUGGAAUUCCUAGUGUAGAGGUGAAAUUCGUAGAUAUUAGGAGGAACACCAGUGGCGAAGGCGACUUACUGGACUGUAACUGACACUGAGGCACGAAAGCGUGGGGAGCGAACA
This 250-nucleotide ribosomal RNA is filed under the name uncultured bacterium. RNAcentral's name for it is "partial 16S ribosomal RNA". It matches the Rfam family "Bacterial small subunit ribosomal RNA", at positions 524 to 774 of the family's 1533-position model. The record is from RNAcentral.